Molecule: ribosomal RNA, 183 nt
Filed under: Triticum aestivum (bread wheat)
Lineage: Eukaryota; Viridiplantae; Streptophyta; Magnoliopsida; Poales; Poaceae
Description: partial small subunit ribosomal RNA
Source: RNAcentral
AAGAAAGCUAUUGGCUCUGUUCUGAUGCUUCUCAUAUGGGAAAUAUGGAAGGAGCGAAACGCGAGAGUUUUUCGCAACACGGCUUCACCGACCACUAUUAUCACUGCCAAGAUCAAAGAGGAGGCCCAUCUUUGGGCGUUGGCGGAAGCCAAACACAUGAGUGCAAUUAUUUCACGAGAGUAG